AACGAACGCUGGCGGCAUGCCUAACACAUGCAAGUCGAACGAGACCUUCGGGUCUAGUGGCGCACGGGUGCGUAACGCGUGGGAACCUGCCCUUAGGUUCGGUAUAACUCCCCGAAAGGGGUGCUAAUACCGGAUAAUGUCUUCGGACCAAAGAUUUAUCGCCUUUGGAUGGGCCCGCGUUGGAUUAGCUAGUUGGUAGGGUAAAAGCCUACCAAGGCGACGAUCCAUAGCUGGUCUGAGAGGAUGAUCAGCCACACUGGGACUGAGACACGGCCCAGACUCCUACGGGAGGCAGCGGUGGGGAAUAUUGGACAAUGGGCGAAAGCCUGAUCCAGCAAUGCCGCGUGAGUGAUGAAGGCCUUAGGGUUGUAAAGCUCUUUUACCCGGAAUGAUAAUGACAGUACCGGGAGAAUAAGCUCCGGCUAACUCCGUG
RNAcentral lists this ribosomal RNA (433 nucleotides) under uncultured bacterium. RNAcentral describes it as "partial 16S ribosomal RNA". It matches the Rfam family "Bacterial small subunit ribosomal RNA", at positions 29 to 507 of the family's 1533-position model. The record is from RNAcentral.